GGUGAGUUUACCUAGUUUGGUAAGGUGUCGCCCUGAUAAGGCGAUUGUUCGGUAAGGAACAUCGUGGGUUCAAAUCCACAUUUACCG
RNAcentral lists this transfer RNA (87 nucleotides) under Nitrososphaerota archaeon. RNAcentral's name for it is "Thaumarchaeota archaeon tRNA-Ile". It matches the Rfam family "tRNA". From Rfam's summary of the family: Transfer RNA (tRNA) molecules are approximately 80 nucleotides in length. Their secondary structure includes four short double-helical elements and three loops (D, anti-codon, and T loops). Further hydrogen bonds mediate the characteristic L-shaped molecular structure. tRNAs have two regions of fundamental functional importance: the anti-codon, which is responsible for specific mRNA codon recognition, and the 3' end, to which the tRNAs corresponding amino acid is attached (by aminoacyl-tRNA synthetases). tRNAs cope with the degeneracy of the genetic code in two manners: having more than one tRNA (with a specific anti-codon) for a particular amino acid; and 'wobble' base-pairing, i.e. permitting non-standard base-pairing at the 3rd anti-codon position. Lineage: Archaea; Thermoproteati; Nitrososphaerota. The record is from RNAcentral.